CAGAGGUCCCGAGCGUUGUUCGGAUUCACUGGGCGUAAAGGGUGCGUAGGUGGUGAAGUAAGUCGGAUGUGAAAUCUCGGAGCUUAACUCCGAAACUGCAUUGGAAACUACUUUGCUCGAGGGUUGAGGGGGGACUGGAAUUCUCGGUGUAGCAGUGAAAUGCGUAGAUAUCGAGAGGAACACCAGUGGCGAAGGCGAGUCCCUGGACAACUCCUGACACUGAGGCACGAAAGCUAGGGGAGCAAACAGGAUUAGAUACCCUGGUAGUCCUAGCCGUAAACGGUGCUUGCUUGCUGUAAAAGGAAUCGACCCCUUUUGUGGCGUAGCCAACGCGUUAAGCAAGCCGCCUGGGAAGUACGGUCGCAAGAUUA
RNAcentral lists this ribosomal RNA (371 nucleotides) under uncultured organism. Its description in RNAcentral is "bacterial SSU rRNA". It matches the Rfam family "Bacterial small subunit ribosomal RNA", at positions 526 to 896 of the family's 1533-position model. The record is from RNAcentral.